RNAcentral lists this ribosomal RNA (774 nucleotides) under Triticum aestivum (bread wheat). RNAcentral's name for it is "partial small subunit ribosomal RNA". The record is from RNAcentral. Lineage: Eukaryota; Viridiplantae; Streptophyta; Magnoliopsida; Poales; Poaceae.
UUCGCCGUCGUGGGCCUCCCCGCGCGCGGCGAGAUCUACGUGCUCGGCGGCGUGGAGGAGGGCGGCGACAAGGCCGUGAGCAGCGUGGCCGUCUACAGCGCGGCGACCAACGGGUGGGGGCAGGUGGCCGGCAUGAGGACGGCGAGGGGCUACAUGGCGGCCGGCGAGGUGGGCGGGCGCGUGGUGGUGGCCGGCGAGGACGGAGAGGCGGAGGUGUUCGACCCAGAGGCCGGUCGCUGGUCGCCCACGGCUCCCCGUGGCGGCGCGGCCGUGGCGAGGUACGACGCUGCGGCGGCGGGCGGCAAGCUGUACGUGACGGAGGGGUGGGCGUGGCCGUUCGAGCGCGCGCCGCGGGGCGCGGUGUACGACGCGGCGGCGGACGCGUGGUCCGACAUGGCGCGCGGGAUGCGGGAGGGGUGGGCGGGCUCCUGCGCCGUGUCGGGCGGCCGGAUGUACAUCGUGGCCGAGUACGGCGAGUGGCGGCUGAAGCGGUACGACGAGCCGCGGGACGAGUGGCGGAUGGUGGCCGGCGGCGGGAUGCCGCAGGAGGUGCGGCGGCCGCACGUCGUGGCGGGCCAGCUGGAGGAGGUCGGCGGCGGCCGGCGCAGGAUCUACGUGGUCGGCGCGGGCCUCGACGUCGCCGUCGGCACCGUCGUGUCCGCCGCCAACCACGGCACCGGCACGGAGGAGGAGCGGGUGGAGUGGGAGGUCGUCAAGGGCCCCGAGGAGUUCGUCGGGCUGGCGCCGUGCAACGCGCAGGUCCUCUACGCCUGA